AUUUUAUGUUUGGUGCAUCUGUGAAAUGCAGUUCAGAUUUGCAUUCCCAUGCUAAUUAUAAGAGUUUUAACCCGAUGUCUGAACCUGAUAAUGAUUGGCCUUGCAAAUUCGAUGAAAGUCCUGUGUUAACGAAAAGUCAAGCUAACCUUGAUUUUGGUCAAGCAACUAUUAAGCCCACAAAUAGCCUCAUCAUGUCAUACAAGGAGGAUGCUUUUGCAUUUUCAGGUGGGCAAUCUGCAGCCGAGGAUGAUGAUGAAUUGACGGAGUCUAAAAUUAGAGCAUUCCUUGAUGAAAAGGCAAUGGAUUUGAAGAAGCUGCAAUCGCCACUAUAUGAAGAAUUCCUUAAUUCUAUGAAUGUUUCCAGCACCCCAAGUCUAGCUGGCAUUGGG
Molecule: unclassified non-coding RNA, 389 nt
Filed under: Hevea brasiliensis (rubber tree)
Lineage: Eukaryota; Viridiplantae; Streptophyta; Magnoliopsida; Malpighiales; Euphorbiaceae
Source: RNAcentral